UGCAAAUGAUGCUAUAAUCAAGUUUUGUUUCUCAAGACAUUCGCAGUUGCCGCCUAAGAGCUUUCCCCCUGCCAGGCUUGAGAGUUACUUCCACUGCUGCA
Molecule: small nucleolar RNA, 101 nt
Filed under: Oryza meridionalis
Lineage: Eukaryota; Viridiplantae; Streptophyta; Magnoliopsida; Poales; Poaceae
Description: snoRNA SNORD14
Source: RNAcentral